RNAcentral lists this unclassified non-coding RNA (936 nucleotides) under Hevea brasiliensis (rubber tree). Lineage: Eukaryota; Viridiplantae; Streptophyta; Magnoliopsida; Malpighiales; Euphorbiaceae. The record is from RNAcentral.
CAGCCUCUGUAAACUCUCUAAGCAUGUCAACCUCUACUUCAACCGCUCAACUAUUUCAAGAUUUUGUAGGGGACUUUUACUCAAGAAGAUUGCUACUACACACCCCCCUUUAUCAAUCACCAACUGCGGCAGCUCCUGCAGCUCCUGGAAAUGGUCACAAUCCAUCAGAAACUUACACCAGAGAUAACAAUUUCGACGCAAAUGUUGUUAUGGUCCUCUCAGUCCUCUUAUGUGCCCUGAUUUGCUCACUUGGAUUGAAUUCCAUCAUUAGGUGUGCAUUGAGGUGCUCCAAUUUGGUAGCUUCCCAGUCUGCUGGCGAUUCCUCAACUCGAUUAGCCAAUACAGGAGUCAAGAGAAAAGCAUUAAAGACGUUCCCAACAGUAAACUACUCAACUGACUUGAAGCUGCCUGGUCUGGACACAGAGUGUGUGAUAUGUCUUUCAGAGUUCACACCUGGUGAACGUGUACGCCUUCUGCCUAAGUGCAACCAUGGAUUCCAUGUCCGGUGCAUCGACAAGUGGCUCAGCUCACACUCAUCCUGCCCUACUUGCAGGCACUGCCUGAUUGAGACAUGCCAAAAGAUUGUUGGUUGCAACCAAGCUACCUCAUCAGAACCUCCACCAGUGCAAGAAAGCAUUGUGAACAUAGCACCACUAGAACCUGAAGGUUUGAUACUCAAUUACAGAGGAGUUAGUUAAGUAUAUUGUUUUUUCUUCAAUUGUAUACUCUGUUAGCUUAAGCUGAGCCUACAACUUGAAAGAUGGCACUAAAAGGCCUUCAUUUUUGUAGGUUAAAGACCACCAUUCCCAAGAAGUGUAGUGUAGAUGUAAAUGUGUACACGGUUUGAAGUCGUAACUUGUUUCAAUUUUUUCCUCCCUCAAUGUCAACUAAACUGUAAUUAUCUGCAAUUUCUAUAAAUACUUAACAAAAUUCCUA